RNA transcript from Onychostoma macrolepis, 1960 nucleotides. RefSeq lists it as uncharacterized. The transcript is spliced from 4 exons. Lineage: Eukaryota; Metazoa; Chordata; Actinopteri; Cypriniformes; Cyprinidae. The record is from RefSeq and is a predicted model, not a curated record.
AUGGCUUCUUUAGAGGACUUCCUGAAGGAACCUUCAGAUGAGUUGCUUGAGCUUUUUACAAAAGAUCAACUCUUGCAAUUAGCUUCUCAUUAUGAUAUCACCAUUACUAGUAGUGAAAAGCGUUUAAAGGAUAGUAUAAAGGACAUUAGAAAUGUGUUGAUCGAUAAUGGUGUUUUGAAAGUUAAGCUAGUUUCCUUCCAACCUAUGGUUACUCCUUUGUCUGAAGCUGCAAUGCAAUUGAGGCUUAGGGAGCUAGCUUUACAGGAGAAACAGCUGGAGGCUAGGGAGAGGGAACGGCAGUUUAAAGAGAAACAAAUGUAUCUUGAACAUGAACGGUUUCUUAAGGAGUUUGAGUUGAAAGUGGCUUCUGAAAGAUCAACUCCUAGAGGUGAUGUUCCUUUGUUCAAUGUUGGUAGCCAUAUUAGGUUAGUGCCUCCUUUUUCUGAGAAAGAUGUUGAGAUAUAUUUUUCUCACUUUGAACGUGUGGCAACCACAUCUAAGUGGCCUAAAAAUGUGUGGACUUUGCUCUUACAAAGUGUUUUGGUAGGUAAAGCCCAGGAAGCUUACUCUGCUUUGAGUCUUGAGAGGAGCACUGAUUAUGAGGUUAAAGCAGCUAUACUGAAAGCAUAUGAGCUAGUUCCUGAAGCUUACCGCCAGCGUUUUAGAAGUUGUGUUAAACUUGUGCAUCACACUUAUGUUGAGUUUGCAAAGCAGAAGGAGAGUCUGUUUGAUCGGUGGUGUACAUCUCAGAGGGUGGUAAAUAAGGAGCAACUUAGACAACUUAUUUUGCUUGAAGAAUUUAAGAACUGUCUGCCUGAAGUUGUGUCUGUUUAUUUGAAUGAGCAGAAGGCAGUAACUUUAGAGCAAGCUGCUAUUUUGGCAGAUGAGUUUGUCUUGACUCAUAAGGUAAACUUUGGUGACGAACAGGUCUCAGAGUAAGGACCAGAACAAUACUUUCCGAUUUGGAAAGUUACCUGAUUCAUCUUAUGAUGAGAAAAUGGCUAGUGAUGGUUCAACUUCAGAGAGGGCCUGUUUUUACUGUAAGAGACCAGGUCAUCUUAUUGCAGACUGUCCUGUUCUAAGUAGGAAGCAGAAAUUCACAAAAACUGUAGCGUUUGUAAGUUCUCCAGUGUUAAGUCUACCUUUGUCAUCUUCACUUGCAAUUGAGAAAGUGGAAUGCAAGAAGGAAGCGUUAGCUGGCUCAUCAUUUUUGAUGGAUGGUUUUGUAUGUUUGUCCUCUGACCCAGAACAUAGACAAGCUAUUAAGAUUUGGAGAGAUACUGGAGCUUUUCAAUCUGUGGUUCUUCAGGAUGUAUUGUCUCUUAAUGAAAAAUCGGCACAAGGUUCAGAGUUACUGCCCAUAUUUAUACAGAGCAGCUAGAAUGACUGAGACACAACAACACUCCACCAAAGACUUAUUGAGAUUGAGAACUUGUGACACACUAAAAUGUCCAAAGAACAACAGUUAAGGUUCCGUGGACAUGGUGGAAAUGAUGAAGAACUUGUCCACCGUGGAGAUGAGGAAAGUGCCAGUCUGGUUGGAACUGGAGCAAUGGCUCGAGCUGAAAUCGCCAGUGUGUCAGCUAAAGCCGGUCCAUUUGGUGUGAAAGUGGGACUUGGAUUUGACACGGGUGCAUCUGCUGGUCUGGAUGGGGUGGAGGCCAAAGUCCUGGGAACUGGAUUCUCAGUUGGUCCAAGAACUGGUGUAGCUGUUCUAGGCAAUGAAGCGUCAUGUUCAGUCAUGUAGUCACAGAGGAAUUAAUUACCUUGGAAUAUUUAUGUGUAACAUUUUACUACCAAACCAUGAAGACAAAAACCUUAUUAAAAAUAUUUUUUUAAAUGUAAAUCAGCUUUAUUGCAGAAUUGGUACAGAAUUAUACUUUAACAAUAUGAAAAUGUUUUAUUUUAGAUGUUAUAAUUCCACAAUUGUUUUAAUAUAAUAAAUAUUUGUAUUUGGUUA